UUGCAUAAAAUGUAGAUAGUGUAGAAGAAAGUAGUGAUAGACAAUGUGACUUAUUUUACUUUGCGUAUGUAUUAAAAUUUCUUUUUUAUUUCAGUAUGUUCUUUAAUCAUGGUCUCAAUACUGCAUUUAUUGGCUACUUUGGUGUCGUGGAUAUUCAUGAUAUUGGUUUCGAUAGCCAGUGUGGCAGGAACAGCAUUAUUAUGGUACACAUACUAUGAACUAAAGAAUAAGCACAAGACCUUUGAAACUGCGUAUUUGGCUGAAUCUCUAAAGAACGAGAGCGCGUUUUUGUGGUAUUCAAUUAUAGCCACAAUAAUUACGGUGAUUUUACUCCUGCUUGUGUUUGUGAUGCGCUCGCGCGUAUCAUUCUUGGCGGCUCUCUUCAGAGAGACUGCUCACUGCCUCGGCUCCAUUCCUGCUCUUUUCCUACAACCUAUAAUAACAUUCUUCAUCCUUGUGCUAUUUUUAGCAUUUUGGUCCAUUGUUGUGGUCUGCCUGGCUACAGCGAAUUAUCCCGGUAUACCACUGCAGACAAACUUCUUAAUCAAUGGAUCUACUACAACGGAGUUUGGUUCCCUUAAUAAACCAGCCAUUGAUACACACAAUGGCAACUCCACUUUGAAAACUUUCGCCCUGGAUAAUAUUCAGUUCGACCCAAUGUGGGUGAAGAGUAUGUGGUGGAUAUGUUUGAUCUGCCUCGUGUGGGGCAGUGAGUUCAUCCUCGGCUGCCAACAGAUGACCAUCGCUGGAGCUGUCUCUCAUUGGUAUUUCAGGGGACCAAACGCAAACUCGCCAGUCUUAUAUUCAAUUGGCAAGCUUAUCAAGUACCAUCUGGGUUCUGUCGCCAAAGGAUCUUUCCUUAUUACACUGUUCAAGAUACCUCGCCUUAUUUUGACUUAUUUGCAUGCCAAGUUAUCGGCUAGAGCAGAGAAGGGUUCGGAAUGCGCUAAAUGUGGUCUCAAGUGUGGUAUUUGCUGCUUCUACUGUCUUGAAAAGUUCAUUCGCUAUCUGAAUCACAACGCUUACACUAUAAUUACCAUUGAGAGGUGCCACUUCUGUAAAGCGGCUGGAAAGGCAUUCAGCACAAUAGUAAACAACGCACUGCAAGUGGCGACUAUUAACAGUGUGGGCGACUUCAUCUUGUUCCUUGGCAAGUGCAUAGUGACCGCGGUCACCGGCAUCAUUGGCCUACUGCUCCUCAAGCGAAACUCUGACCUCCACUUCUUUGCUGUACCCACAUUAGUCAUCUGUAUCUACUCGUUCUUCAUUGCACACUGUAUCCUUUCUCUUUACGAGAUGGUAGUCGAUUCACUGUUCCUGUGCGUUUGUGAAGAUCGCAAUAUGAAUGGUGACGACGGCAGAUGGAAGAACUCUCGUUUGGCGGAACUCGGCGGACAUAAAGGGAACAAAUAUGACGAACAAGAUGGCGCCGAGCUGCAGGACGUGCCAGACAAGUACUAACUCGACGCCUGUUGUCCUUGGGGCUUUGCAUGUCCUAUCAGUGCCUUAUUGUGGAUGCUGGCUGCAGACUAUGUAAAUGGCAGUUGAAUUAGAAAUAAGAAGAAUCUUUUACGCUUUUACUUAGACUCAGUAUUUGCAUUUUUAUUAUUUAUAAUUAAUAAUUAAUAUUUUAUAAGCACAUUGACACCGUGAUUUGACAGCACAUUAUUUGUGUGGAUCACCUUUUGUGACUAUUAAAAACUUUCAUAUUAAUGUUCGGUGCAAUGCUAGUAGAUAUGAUAAGCUAUUUUGGCAUAAUAUUUUUCUAAUACUAAAUAUAGAUUAUAAAUACGUACUAUUAUAUAAAAUAUGUGUUUUAUGAAUGUUUACAUGAAUUUUAGAAAAGUUUAUAAAGUGCUACAAAUAUUAUUUUUGUGUAUCUAAUGUUGCGAACUACAUAUUUAUGUCUUGAUAUUUUAUUAUGCAUAAUAAUUAUAGGCGGAUCAAUCAUAUUAUCGACGCAGAUUUUAGAAGAGUGUUAAUGUUUAAUAAAUCGAUAUUUUGUUCGUAAAUGUAAGAAUCUCGAAGUACACAGUACUUACACUUUUGAGUGUAAAUUUUAGCACAAAUGAUUUGGAUAGCACAAACUAAAUAAGAGUUUCACUUCAAUGUAUGUUAGUUGGACUUUGCAUUCCAGUGCUUAGAUCUUACUGUAAUGUGUUGCAUUUUUUAUUUAUUAAUUUUGACUAUUGUCUUGGAAUCAAUUAAUUUAUUGCUUUUUUAUACAUGUUUUGCAACUAAGGCUAAUAUAAAGUACAAUUUUUGAUAUUAUAUUUUUCUAGUACCUAGUAAGUAAUAAUGUUACGUUUUUAACAAUACUUUAUAAUGGCAGAUACAUUUAUAAUGAAUGGUAUAAUCAUGUUGCGACAGAUAAUUAUGUUAAAUGCAUAGUUUUAUUACAUUCAGAUUUUACAGAUUUUUUUAAUAGGGUGCUCAAUUUUUUAUCAACUUUUAUCAUAGUAUUUUAGCAUAAUUUGACUAGUUUCAUGUUUUUGAAAUGAAUUUAACCGUCCAUUAUUUAAAACACUAAUUCUCCAAUCCAGCAUAAUCAUUUUACAUAAUAAGAGAUUAUAAUGUGUAUUUAGUGAAUCUCUUGCAAGGUCUUUGUAUGUACAUUACAUGCUGUUUGCACAACAAUAUGUAUUUAGAAAAUAGGUAAGUAGUGUUGUCUCGAAUUUCAGAAGAUCUAAUCAAACGACGAAAGCCAUACCCUUGAUUGUAUGCCAUAAUUAUACUAAAUUUAUUUACCAAUCUUGUUCUUCCGUAAUAGAAUGUAAGGAAUUCCGUUCUACCUAUCCAUUAUACAUACACAAAAUAAAAAUCAUUGUGUGGAAAAUAAAGUUUUAUUAUUAUGAUUUA
RNA transcript from Spodoptera litura, 2859 nucleotides. It is a transcript of the gene named choline transporter-like protein 1, with no coding region annotated. NCBI's taxonomy places the organism in Eukaryota, Metazoa, Arthropoda, Insecta, Lepidoptera, Noctuidae. The record is from RefSeq and is a predicted model, not a curated record.